Molecule: non-coding RNA, 1069 nt
Organism: Coturnix japonica (Japanese quail)
Lineage: Eukaryota; Metazoa; Chordata; Aves; Galliformes; Phasianidae
Source: RefSeq, a predicted model, not a curated record
GCUAGAGCUAGGUGUGUUUCUCUGCAGGUCUUUGUAUCCCGGGGGUCUCUGUAAGAUGGAAACAGUGAAUAAGAAGAAAGCAAGUAAAUCUUCAAGGACAACAGAAGAAUAAAAAUAAAAAGCCGGUGAAAAUAAAUGUGGUAUGGUCUCUGUUGUGAUAGUAUCUUUCCAUUGUCCAGUCUGGAAGCAGUGCUCAGCUCACCAUAUUGUGGAAGCUUCCUCCAGAGUUAACACUAAGUGGCAACUUUGCAAUUUUGAAAGACUUACAGCUAUGAAAGAAAAACAACACACAACUCUUCUGUCACCUGCCUGGUGCCACCUGUAUGGAAUUAGAGCAGAUUGGAUAGUGUAAAAAGAGUUACAUUGCUCUAAGACCUGUGUAAGUUGCAGCAGGCCUCUUGUUCUAGUAUGUCUCCUGAUAACUAAAGGUAAUAUAAGGUUAAAAAAUGGUUUUGAUGAGUCAAUAGAAGAAAGUCCUGCCUUGUUUAACAAAAUGGGGAGAUCUGUUAUUUUUAACAAAACAUCUCUAAUAUUCCUGUUUUGUGUUGUGUGUAUUCCUCCUACAUUAACAAAAGCUGUUCAGGUGUGUUCAGGUGCCUUGUAGACAUUAUCCAAAUAUGCUUUUUUCUUCUCUUUGGCUCACUGUCAGGAUGCUGUUAUCCUCUUUGUUCUGAAAAAAAUAAAUCAGAAUUGUGCUUAAAAGUCUUAUGUAACAAGGUAAAUAUAGUGUAUUUUUCAGUCACUUUAGUGAUGACAUACGUUAGGGAAAACAGACUGUAAUCUUCAUUCUUUUCCUAAAACUAGAAAUUUGUGGAGUACUUUAGUAAAGAAGUUGGUUUUCUCCUUCAAAACAUUCAUUAACGCGCAAAUGACUUUCUCUCUCUUUAUGUUGUCAAAAAAAAAAACUUGCAUACUGUGUAAUUAAAUCUCUGUUUUAAAGUACAUUUCUCAAGAAACACAACCUUUUAAGUUGAAGGCUGCAUAAUAGAUGCUAUUAACUGUAUAUUAAAGUAGAAAAUUUCUUGUACAACUCUAUAUUUGCUGAAUGAGUAUGCCUUUUCCAAAGUCA